GCCGAAGUGGUGGAAUUGGUAGACACGCUAUCUUGAGGGGGUAGUGCUUUAACGGGCGUGCGGGUUCAAGUCCCGCCUUCGGCACCA
Molecule: transfer RNA, 87 nt
Filed under: Pseudidiomarina salinarum
Lineage: Bacteria; Pseudomonadati; Pseudomonadota; Gammaproteobacteria; Alteromonadales; Idiomarinaceae
Description: Idiomarina salinarum tRNA-Leu
Rfam family: tRNA
About the family: Transfer RNA (tRNA) molecules are approximately 80 nucleotides in length. Their secondary structure includes four short double-helical elements and three loops (D, anti-codon, and T loops).
Source: RNAcentral